GUCACUUUGCCGGAGGUAGGUUAACGGGAUGGCCUGCUAUCUCUUAGUAUCCAGCCAUUGGGCUUUACCCGCGUGUGUUCGAAGCGCACAGGUGACA
Molecule: non-coding RNA, 97 nt
Organism: Dendrothele bispora CBS 962.96
Lineage: Eukaryota; Fungi; Basidiomycota; Agaricomycetes; Agaricales
Source: the annotation of a GenBank genome assembly